UCUCUCUCUCUCCGACGCAAUCGUCUUUCUCCCUCAGCGGUGGCUAUUCAUCCAAGCUUAACUCCACGAUUCACAUCCACGAGAUGUUCACAUAUUAACUGGUGAAAAUAAUUGAACAGAGAAAAUCCAAUGAUGCAGAAGUCGAGUCACUGCGAGAGGAAUACCAUCAAAGGGUUGCAACACUUGAAAGGAAGGUGUAUGCUCUUACAAAGGAAAGGGACACGCUUCGGCGGGAGCAGAAUAAGAAAAGUGAUGCAGCUGCUCUUCUGAAGGAAAAGGAUGAAAUAAUUAAUCAAG
This is a long non-coding RNA of Prunus persica (peach), 297 nucleotides long. RefSeq lists it as uncharacterized. The transcript has 3 exons. The record is from RefSeq and is a predicted model, not a curated record. Lineage: Eukaryota; Viridiplantae; Streptophyta; Magnoliopsida; Rosales; Rosaceae.